GAUUCUACUAAAAGGCUUCCAAAUGUUUCCUCUUUGGGGUCUAGGAUUUGCCUGGCUGAUUUUUGGCUUAACCACUAAUUCUGAGCCUGCAGUGGGAGCUA
Neolamprologus brichardi is the source of this 101-nucleotide non-coding RNA. Lineage: Eukaryota; Metazoa; Chordata; Actinopteri; Cichliformes; Cichlidae. The record is from RefSeq and is a predicted model, not a curated record.